RNAcentral lists this long non-coding RNA (271 nucleotides) under Ricinus communis (castor bean). RNAcentral's name for it is "long non-coding RNA (RCOM_LNC003538)". The record is from RNAcentral. Lineage: Eukaryota; Viridiplantae; Streptophyta; Magnoliopsida; Malpighiales; Euphorbiaceae.
CUCAAUUUCUAUUUCUAUGUUAGUACUUCUACCUCAUCUCUACCAAACAUUACUUUUGAAGUAACUCCACCAUGCAACUUAAUAAAAUUAAAGAUUAGCUACUAACCCUAUCAUGAAAUUAUUUAGAGUUGAGGUAGAGGUACGGACCUAGGAAAUAGAAAUUGAGACAGUGAACAAAAUAUAGUUUGAUGAUUGUUAAUUAGAAAUAGAAAAUUUAUAAACUCUAAUUUGUAUAUUUGUGACUAGAUAACCCGGAGUCAUUAAGUGCGAC